Molecule: long non-coding RNA, 509 nt
Organism: Xenopus laevis (African clawed frog)
Lineage: Eukaryota; Metazoa; Chordata; Amphibia; Anura; Pipidae
Exons: 2
Source: RefSeq, a predicted model, not a curated record
UUUAUGUAUCUAAAAAAAGUGUGUUUUGAAAGGGGGAGAGAGGGAAAGAUUAGUGAGGGAAGUAGUGUUGUGUGUCUGUGAAUGAUUUAUGAGAUGUGGGUUGCAGCUUAUGCUGGUUGGAUGAGCGAAGGCACAUGGGCUGUUCUUACUCAUUCACUUCUUCAUAAACUAAACCAAAGCUCAGCUCUGCUUGUUUCUCUUUGCACUCUCUUUCUUUCCAUGCAGGCUCUUUGUCUUACCCCAUUUAUGUUCUUCUUUAACCAGCCACAUAUUUCUGCUAACUGCCUGCACCAUUCCAUCUAAUGUAGAUUUGCCAAAAAUCUCUCCUGACAAAUGGAAUAGUCUCGCCUAUUGUUACGUGGUGACGUGAAACUGGAUGCCCCUAACACUAUCUACUGGUUUCUUGUAAUUUGGGACACACGAUACAGGAAGCAUUAGACAAUAAUGACAUCACUUAAAGAAAGAUGUGUUGGUAUAUCAGAGAAUUUCCAAUAUCAUGCUUAACUUCA